CUAUUGUAAUUGUGCUAUUUCUAUUGAUGUGUCUCCACUUCACUUGUCAUUUGCCAGUGAAACAGCACAAAAAUCUUGAAAAAAAUCAGCCAGACAAAAGAGUGCUUAACCUGCGUUAGCAGCUGAGAGGGGUUCACAGAUAUAAAGGUGUUGGUUAUAUCUCAAGAUGAGAAGUGAGGCAAAAUCCACAAGGAAAGCCAGGCAGCCUUUCUUCAAGAGGUCGUUUGCAUCCAGGACGUGUACAAAUCUCUUUACAUUUAUUUAGAAACUAAGGCAAUUAAAACACCCCAGGUCCCUCCUAUUAACUCAGAAACAUCAUUAUGAAGAUGCUUAUGCCACAGCGGCUUACUACGCUCGGUUUACUGGAAAACUGGAAAGCUUCAUUUUCAGCCAUUUGAUCAACAAUUUCCCGAGGUUGUUAAUGACUUGCAAAAAUCUGCCCAACAGUAACAACCUCAGGGAGACCCCGCGUUGUCUCCUCUGAGAACCCCUUUUGUUUUCAGAAUGAGAAAUUUAAUUAGGCAAGGUUUUUUUUGGCAGAGGAGUUCAUGCCUUGUGCCCUCAACAAGCAAACCCUGUGUGACUGCCCAGCGCCACCCGGGAGCCUGAGCCUUGGCAGAGCCGAGGACCUACUGGGGCAAAGGAAAUUAAUCGAUUUUAAAGUAGUUCCCACCGCGUUUUCCCCUUGUUGGGCAAGUUGCUACUUCUUCUACAUGAAGACCUUUGCUUCAUUUUGCUCCGAGUAG
RNAcentral lists this long non-coding RNA (746 nucleotides) under Manacus vitellinus (golden-collared manakin). RNAcentral describes it as "lncRNA (ENSMVIG00005013510.1)". Lineage: Eukaryota; Metazoa; Chordata; Aves; Passeriformes; Pipridae. The record is from RNAcentral.